RNAcentral lists this Y RNA (107 nucleotides) under Prolemur simus (greater bamboo lemur). RNAcentral's name for it is "Y RNA (ENSPSMG00000014590.1)". It matches the Rfam family "Y RNA". From Rfam's summary of the family: Y RNAs are components of the Ro ribonucleoprotein particle (Ro RNP), in association with Ro60 and La proteins. The Y RNAs and Ro60 and La proteins are well conserved, but the function of the Ro RNP is not known. Lineage: Eukaryota; Metazoa; Chordata; Mammalia; Primates; Lemuridae. The record is from Rfam by way of RNAcentral.
GGCUGGUCCAAAGGUGAUGCGUUAUCUCAAUUGAUUGUUCACAAUCAGUUACAAACUCCUGUUCUACUCUUUCCUCCCUUCUCACUACUGUACUUGACUAGUCUUAA